This is a long non-coding RNA of Alosa sapidissima (American shad), 344 nucleotides long. RefSeq lists it as uncharacterized. NCBI's taxonomy places the organism in Eukaryota, Metazoa, Chordata, Actinopteri, Clupeiformes, Clupeidae. The transcript has 3 exons. The record is from RefSeq and is a predicted model, not a curated record.
CUUAGGCGGGUGAGGCUCCCAUAUGACCGUAUGUAAACAGUAAGGACAACAGCAGAUGCAUCUAUUCCAGCCAGUCCAGAUGACACUAGAAACUGAGAGAUGAAAGCUGUGAGAGGAGCAGAGAAUGCCAGGCGGUCCAGUGGCUCAGAAGAACAAACAAACACCUCCCGGGUGCUGGUUCACAGUGGGGAGCGCUCAGAACUACCCCUGACCACGCUUAGCCACAGCUCGAUACCCCAGCAGGAAAAAAGCUGAGAGACAGAACCUGCUCUUCAGCUGCCUCUUCAGUAAUUCCCUGUUUCCUUCCGAUGGGAGCGCCAUGGAGACAGCAGAAAGCAGGGUGC